Molecule: ribosomal RNA, 629 nt
Filed under: uncultured bacterium
Lineage: Bacteria
Description: bacterial SSU rRNA
Rfam family: Bacterial small subunit ribosomal RNA
Source: RNAcentral
AAAGAGCUUGCUCUUUUAAUCUAGUGGCGGACGGGUGAGUAACACGUGAGCAACCUGCCUAACAGAGGGGGAUAACGUUUGGAAACGAACGCUAAUACCGCAUAACAUAUAACUAUCGCAUGAUAGAAAUAUCAAAGGAGAAAUCCGCUGAAAGAUGGGCUCGCGUCUGAUUAGCUAGUUGAGUGGUAAUGGCACACCAAGGCAACGAUCAGUAGCCGGACUGAGAGGUUGAACGGCCACAUUGGGACUGAGACACGGCCCAGACUCCUACGGGAGGCAGCAGUGGGGGAUAUUGCACAUGGGGGAAACCCUGAUGCAGCGACGCCGCGUGAGGGAAGAAGGUUUUCGGAUUGUAAACCUCUGUCUUCGGGGACGAUAAUGACGGUACCCGAGGAGGAAGCACCGGCUAACUACGUGCCAGCAGCCGCGGUAAUACGUAGGGUGCAAGCGUUGUCCGGAAUUACUGGGUGUAAAGGGAGCGUAGGCGGGAACGCAAGUUGGAUGUAUAAACUAUCGGCUCAACCGGUAGAGGCAUUCAAAACUGCGAUUCUUGAGUGAAGUAGAGGUAGGCGGAAUUCCUAGUGUAGCGGUGAAAUGCGUAGAUAUUAGGAGGAACACCAGUGGCGAAG